GGUUACAGUGUAGUAAAAAAGGCCCCUCACAAGAAAGGAACGGAAACGCACAUGCUGCAAUCAGUUGCUAAAUCACCAUGGGAUAUCGUAGGUUAUCAAAACGCAUUUAUCUGGUACCAAGCACAAUGGCACCAUUUGCAAACGUGUGGCAAAUUAGAAACCACGCAAACAUAAACAGUGACUCAAGUAUAUCACUGUCUGAUAAUAGUGAUACAAUAAUUUGUCUUACAUAUAUACAUACAUGCUUCUGAGAUUUGAGCUUAUAAUUGUCACAUUCAAUUUCAUAAAAGAAACGGACAUACUAGUAGUAUUUCAAUAAAUGUCGGCAAAUAUUUACAAAGCCAUUGCGCAUGCGCACUCACUACCAAAUUCGAAAAAGCAGUGUUCUCUUUUGAAGGUAACCAAAGAAAUAAAGACACGUGAUGGCGAUGAACAAAUGGACGACCGUAGUUCUUAUCAUUGCAGCGUUUUGCUUUUCAGCGCUUAUUUUUCAUCACGUUUGGGAAGUUAAACCGAAUCUUUUCUCUAAACACUCGAGUAAUUCUAAAAAGGAACUUAAACAAAAGUGCUCUAUAACCACAGCGUUCAUCAAACGUCUUGGCACCGUCUUGACUCCCUCAGUGAAGACCUUUUAGAACAAUUAAGAGGGAAAUGGAUUCUCCCUCCUUCCAAGCUGUCCUAUAAUCUUUCCAAACCAAAGGCAACAUACUGGGACCAAAUUGGACAAUCAAAAUUGGUAGACAAAAUUCUGAAGCAACGCCGCAAAGGAUUUUUUGUGGAAUCAGGAGCAUAUGAUGGAGAGGCUCAUUCCAAUUCUCUCUUUUUUGAGAUUUCACGAGACUGGGAAGGAUUACUUGUGGAGCCAAACCCGUGGUCUUUUUAAGUGCUUUUGAACAAAAACAGGAAAACUUAUGCUGCUAAUACGUGCUUGGCAACGGGCCACAGUCCCGCAAUGGUUGAUUUUACGUUCGCUCAAGAGAUAGGAGGAAUGGCCGAAAAAAGCUACGCUAUUUCUAAGGGCGAACAAAACGCCAUUGAAGAAAAAGUCGCAUACAGUGUUUUCCAAUUCGUUCUCUCCUGGCCGCCAUCGGUAGGAAUCACGUGGACCACUUUACCUUGGACGUAGAGGGUGCCGAAAUACAAAUCCUUAAGUCGUUUCCAUGGGAACACGUCAGCGUUGACGUGUGGACGAUAGAGUACGCAGUUCACGGAGGAGGUCCUGAUACUCCAAAACGUGAGAAAGCAAUCAGGGAAAUCUUUAAAAAUACAGGACUCUACAGGGAAGGGACAAUACUUGAGGCCCAAGACAUACGGUUUGUUAGAAAGGACGUAACACAAUGAAAAAGCAAUAUCAUAAAUAUGUCACAUAUAAAACUGGUCUGUUUAGUGUUAACGUGAUACAAUAUGAAUGAUACCGAUAAAUGUUUGUUAUAGAGGACAUACCAGAAUGACAAAGCAAUCAGGAAUAUGUAUAAAAUAUACAACUAUGUUCUUGUACAAUUAUUUAAUUUUCACUGAA
This is a long non-coding RNA of Lingula anatina, 1519 nucleotides long. Lineage: Eukaryota; Metazoa; Brachiopoda; Lingulata; Lingulida; Lingulidae. The record is from RefSeq and is a predicted model, not a curated record.